Molecule: ribosomal RNA, 240 nt
Filed under: Triticum aestivum (bread wheat)
Lineage: Eukaryota; Viridiplantae; Streptophyta; Magnoliopsida; Poales; Poaceae
Description: partial small subunit ribosomal RNA
Source: RNAcentral
UUGGAAAUAGCUUGGGUCAAGGUAGCAAACGUUCCAUUGGAGAGGAGGAAUGAGAGAAAUGUGGCUUAUGUUGCAUCUCUGGUAGGUGUACCACUUGAAAUCGACAUGGCCACCCUACAUAAGCCAGAAUUUGUACGGGUCCGGCUUGGAUGUCGCAAUGUGAUGAACUACCUGGAGUUGCAGAAGCAGUCUUGGGCACACAUUUCUUUGACUUCUUUUACGAAGUUGACAAGGUUUUGA